ACCGGUGGAAACGCCGCCUAAUACCCCAUGGCGAUAUAUUGAGGCAUCUUGAUAUAUCUAAAGCUCCGGCGGAGACGGAUUGGCUCGCGUGACAUUAGCUGGACGGCGGGGCAACGGCCCACCGUGGCUACGAUGUCUAGGGGUUCUGAGAGAAAGGUCCCCCACACUGGAACUGAGACACGGUCCAGACUCCUACGGGAGGCAGCAGUGAGGAAUAUUGGUCAAUGGGCGGGAGCCUGAACCAGCCAUGCCGCGUGAAGGCGAGUGCCCUACGGGCGUUAAACUUCUUUUGUGCGGGAGCAAUAAGGGCCACGCGUGGCCCGAUGAGAGUACCGCACGAAUAAGCAUCGGCUAACUCCGUGCCAGCAGCCGCGGUAAUACGGGGGAUGCGAGCGUUAUCCGGAUUUAUUGGGUUUAAAGGGUGCGUAGGCGGUAUUUUAAGUUAGUGGUAAAACGUCGGGGCUUCACCUUGAUUGGCCAUUAAAACUGGAGUACUAGAGUACAGACGAGGUAGGCGGAAUAAGUUAAGUAGCGGUGAAAUGCUUAGAUAUAACUUAGAACCCCGAUAGCGAAGGCAGCUUACCAGACUGUUACUGACGCUGAAGCA
Molecule: ribosomal RNA, 607 nt
Filed under: uncultured bacterium
Lineage: Bacteria
Description: bacterial SSU rRNA
Rfam family: Bacterial small subunit ribosomal RNA
Source: RNAcentral